This 257-nucleotide unclassified non-coding RNA is filed under the name plant metagenome. Its description in RNAcentral is "partial contains small subunit ribosomal RNA, internal transcribed spacer 1, and 5.8S ribosomal RNA". The stretch from base 209 to 257 matches the Rfam family "5.8S ribosomal RNA", at positions 1 to 49 of the family's 154-position model. The record is from RNAcentral.
UUUCCGUAGGUGAACCUGCGGAAGGAUCAUUAAUGAGAACUAAGGGUAGUAGUCUUGGCUAUUACUCUGAACACUCCACCCUUUGUUUAUAUUACCUUUGUUGCUUUAGCAGGCCCGCUCUCGAGCCGCCGGCACCUGCUGGCUAGUGCCUGCUAAAGAACCUAAAACUCUUGUUAAUAAUAUUGUCUGAGUACUAUAUAAUAGUUAAAACUUUCAACAACGGAUCUCUUGGUUCUGGCAUCGAUAAAGAACGCAGC